Molecule: ribosomal RNA, 2783 nt
Filed under: Candidatus Woesebacteria bacterium RIFOXYB1_FULL_31_120
Lineage: Bacteria; Candidatus Woeseibacteriota
Description: bacterial LSU rRNA
Rfam family: Bacterial large subunit ribosomal RNA
Source: RNAcentral
CUCAGACAGCCAGGAGGUUGGCUCAGAAGCAGCCACCCUUUAAAGAUAGCGUAACAGCUCACUGGUCGACUGAGAAGAAGCGCCUAAGAUUUAUCGAGGAUCAAAUGUAGUGCCGAAGCUAGAGAUGUCCUACUUUUAGUAGGGCGUGGUAGGGGAGCGUCCCAUAUGCAGUGAAGGCAAAUUGUAAGAUUUGUUGGAGUGUAUGGGAGUGAGAAUGCAGGCAUGAGUAGCGCACUAGACGGGUGAAAAUCCCGUCCGCCGAAUACCCAAGGUUUCCGUCGCAAGGUUCGUCCUCGACGGGUUAAUCGGUUCCUAAGGUGAGGUCAGUUUAACUGGCGUAGCCGAAGGACAAGUAGUUAAAAUUCUACUAUUUUUUGUAAGUCGUUAUUAAUUGGGGGUUCCCAAACAGGAAUACUGUAGCCUUCAUGUGAUGAGGGUUUAAACUGUGAAAUAGUUCUGAAUAGAAAAUCUAUCAGAAUGUUUAAUUGAGCAGUAAUGUAAAUUUCGCCGUGAGGUGAGAAAUUACAAAUAUUUCAGUUUGCAAGAAAACACUCGCAAUGAGACUUAUAAGAAGCCGUACCGCAAUCCGACACAGGUGGGUUGGUAGAGAAUACUAAGGCGAUCGAGAGAAGAAUCCUCAAGGAACUCGGCAAAAAAACUACCCGUAACUUCGGGAGAUGGGUUCCCUAACUUUUAGUUAGGGGCCACCAAAAGUUUGCUGACCGACUGUUUAUCAAAAACACAGGUCUGUGCGAAGUCGAAAGACGAAGUAUACAGGCCGACGCCUGUCCAGUGCCGGUAAGUUAAAGAGAGGAGUGGUACGAAUUUAUUCGUACUGCUUUGACCUAAAGCUCCGGUGAAACGACAGCAGUAACUAUAGACACAGUUGUAGUUAGUAGGUUUUAACUCCUACCGUCUAAGGAAGACGAAAAGUUGACCAUAUGCUGGAAACACUCAAGUAUCUGACAGUACCGAAAGGUAAAAAUCUGUUCAGUGGAGUCAAUCAGCAGGAAAGAUUCUAAAUUUAUUUAGAAUAUCCUCAGAGACUAUACGUCAACUGCUAAAUUUGUGCUAACAAUUUAGUAAUGAUAUAGUCCGAUCUCAUAAGCGAUUAUGAGUCUACGUAAAUUUAUGAAAAUCGUAGCAAGUAACAUCAUAAACUGUUCUAAGGUAACUUAAUAGCUGCCUUAGUAAAAUCUAGCUAUAUGCUGGAACAUCUCGUUAAACUAAGUCUACUAUGGUAAAAUCUAUCCUUAGAUUAUGGCAAGUAAAAAUGAUUUAGGUAGAGAAAAUCAGCAGGAAAGGCUUAAAACAAUCGGAUGGAUUGUUGGAUUUGUAGAUGGAGAAGGAUGUUUUUCAGUAUCAGUUUUUAAGAAUAAAACUACGAAAAAUGGAUGGCAAAUUUUUCCGGAAUUUGUUGUAACACAAAGUGAGAGAAGUAUAUCAACUCUUCAAGAAAUUAAAAAAUUUUUUGGAUGUGGAAAUAUAUUUGUAAAUCACCGUUACGACAACCAUAACGAAAAUUUGUACCGUUAUUGCGUUAGAAAUAUUCAUGAUCUGAAAGAUAAAAUUAUCCCAUUUUUUGAAUCAAACAACCUGAGAUCUGCAAAGAUAAAGGACCUUAAUAUCUUUAAAGAAGUAGUAUUACUUAUGAUAAAUAAGAAACAUCUACAAAAAGAAGGUUUUGAUAAAAUACUAUCAAUUGCAGGUAAAAGAAAGAUUUAAGAAUCCCCAGAGACUAUACGCUAGAACAAUUCUAUUUUUAUAGAUGCGUAAGAUAUAGUCCCAACUGCAUGGAGACAUGCAGAAACAUUGAUAACUUACAUAUUAAAACAAUGUUUAUAAUUCUAAUAUUUAUUUAUUGGAACGAAGAUUUCGAGCGAAGUUCCUUGCCAGGUAAGUUCUGGCCCGCACGAAUGGCGUCACGAGUUAGCAACUGUCUUGAGGUUUCACUCGGCGAAAUUGCGUUGGCUGUGAAGACGCGGCCUAAUCCCACUUGGACAAAAAGACCCCGUGGAGCUUUACUGUAGUUUGGCAUUGCCUUAACAAUUUUUGAUUGUCUAGUAUAGGAGGGAGUUUUACGACAACAGUGUAAUACCUCUCGUUGGAGAUUGUUGGGCUUACUUAAUUCGCCUGAAGACGGCGAAGGGAAAAGUGCUAGAUGGGCAGUUUUACUGGGGCGGUACCCUGCCAAAGAGUAACGCAGGGGCACAAAGGUUAGCUUGUUACGGAUGGAAACCGUAAUUAAACUGCAAAGAGAUAAGCUAGCUUGACUGCAACACCGAAGGGUGGAGCAGGUACGAAAGUAGGUCUUAGUGAUCCCCCGAUCCUUCAUGGGAGGGACGGGGCUUAACUGAUAAAAGCUACCCCGGGGAUAACAGAGUAGUCGCGCCCGAGAGUCCAUAUCGACGGCGCGGUUCGCUACCUCGAUGUCGGCUCAUGAUAUCCUAGGGCUGAAGAAGGUCCUAAGGGUUGGUCUGUUCGCCCAUUAAAAUCAUACGCGAGCUGGGUUCAGAACGUAAACAACAUUGCGUUCUACACUAGUAAUAGUGUAAUAUUAAAUAUCGACUAAAAUCGGUGAAACCCCAAGGAAAUUAUUUAAUUUUCUGGGUAAUACCGAGGGUAAGUCAAAAGAAUUAUGUUGAAGAAAGAAGAAUUAGCAUAUAUUGCAGGUUUUCUUGAUGGAGAUGGAUGCAUAAUGCUCCAAUUGGUAUACAGGCACGAUUAUGUGCUUGGAUAUCAAAUUAGAGCAAGCAUUGUUUUUUAUCAAAAGACGCAAUAUA